This is a long non-coding RNA of Culicoides brevitarsis, 391 nucleotides long. RefSeq lists it as uncharacterized. The transcript has 2 exons. Lineage: Eukaryota; Metazoa; Arthropoda; Insecta; Diptera; Ceratopogonidae. The record is from RefSeq and is a predicted model, not a curated record.
AUGACAACAAACCAGCGUGAACCAUGUCUUCGCAAAUCCUGAAAAAAAGCCUUCAAAUCGUCGAGGAUAAGCCUUCGAAGGAUGCCAAGAAGAAAAAAUCAAAUAAAAAAGCGAAACAGCGAACAAAAAAUGACGGAAAAUCCGUUGAAGAAAAUUUAAAGAAACUUUUGGCGAUGAGCAGUGACGUUUCGAGUUCAAAAAAGAAACCAGAUUUUGAAAAAAUGUUCCAUAACGCUCGUCAAGGUACGAGAGCAAAAAAGCAAGUUUUGGAGGAAAAAGCUGCUCAAGAAGCCGCGGAAGGAAAUUCCGUGUUCAGUAAAGAAGAUUUUCUGAGAUUUGAACGUGAAUUAUUUUGUGACAAAUAACAUUUAUUAUUUUUUAAGUAAAUUUA